ACUACGGGAGGCAGCAGUCGAGAAUAAUGCACAAUGGGGGAAACCCUGAUGGGGCGACGCCGCGUGGGGGAAUGAAGGUCUGCGGAUUGUAAACCCCUGUCAUGUGGGAGCAAAUGAAAAAGAUAGUACCACAAGAGGAAGAGACGGCUAACUCUGUGCCAGCAGCCGCGGUAAGACAGAGGUCUCAAGCGUUGUUCGGAAUCGCUGGGCGGAAAGGGUGCGUAGGAUGUUUCGUAAGGCGGGGGGGAAAGGCGCGGGCUCAACCCGCGGAGCGCACAGGAUACUGCGGGACUAGAGUAAUGGAGGGGGAACCGGAAUGCUCGGUGGAGCAGUGAAAUGCGUAGAUAGCGAGAGGAACACUCGUGGCGAAGGCGGGUUCCUGGACAUUAACUGACGCUGAGGCACGAAGGCCAGGGGAGCGAAAGGGAUUAGAUACCCCUGUAGUC
RNAcentral lists this ribosomal RNA (446 nucleotides) under uncultured bacterium. RNAcentral's name for it is "partial 16S ribosomal RNA". It matches the Rfam family "Bacterial small subunit ribosomal RNA", at positions 338 to 795 of the family's 1533-position model. The record is from RNAcentral.